Molecule: long non-coding RNA, 287 nt
Organism: Juglans microcarpa x Juglans regia
Lineage: Eukaryota; Viridiplantae; Streptophyta; Magnoliopsida; Fagales; Juglandaceae
Exons: 3
Source: RefSeq, a predicted model, not a curated record
AAAAAUUGGGGAGUAGAAGCCAUUUGCAAUGUUUAGGUCAAAUGCGUCUCUUAGUGCUGCUUUAACUUUAUUAGUUCAAGUUGGAGUUAAUUCGAUUUAUAUUUAGUGGAUGAUAAUGGCUCAUUGCUGGAUAUGUAUUCACGAAGUGAUAUCCCUGCUUUGGCAAAAGAUAAAGCAUAUGCACAGAUUCGCCUUGGUGAAAUGCGUAUUCACCAGGUAAUUCCUCAAUCUUAUGUAUUUAUCUGACUCCAUCAGGCAUGCUAACUGUAUGGUAGAUAGCAAUCUCU